Cyprinus carpio carpio is the source of this 7203-nucleotide long non-coding RNA. Lineage: Eukaryota; Metazoa; Chordata; Actinopteri; Cypriniformes; Cyprinidae. The record is from Ensembl.
GUUUGGAAAGAAAUACCCAUUUACAAUCAGUUAAAUGCUGACAUGUGCUGCUGUUUGAAACUUUCAUGUUUUAAAGUUGUUGUUUUUUUUUUCAUUUAAAAUUAUAAAACUUACUCUGAUAAGUAAAUUUUACAAUCUUCAGUGAUCCAUUGAGUUGGGACUGUCUAGAUUCCAGAAGAGUACUGAUAGCACCUAGGACCAAAUUUUCAUUGGGCACUGACGACAAGGAUGAGAAUACCAAUAUGGUUGUGACUGUUGCUGCACCAGUCACAUUUGUUGACAAUGUUUUGGGUAUGUUUGAAGUUUCUGGUUGCAAACUUGAAGUACUUUGAAGUGUUGCAGAUGCAUCUGCUUUUGUUGCAUUGUUUAGAGGUGUAGUAUUGCUAGAAAGAGUUUCAGCUGGUGUUGUUUUGAUUGAUGAUUGACUUGGAAUUGUAGAUGCUGGGGAUGUUGAUGCAUUUGUGUUUGAAACUGAUGUUAUUGGAGCUAUUGGAAAUUCUGCUGCACUGGUGAGACCUGUAUUAAUUCCAGUUGUAGUUGUUGAUGCAGUUGUAGUUUCUGAAUCCAUGUUUGGGAUUGGAGUUGUUUUGGUUGAAAGUGCAAGUGUGGCUGGAGCAGAAGAUGUGUUGGUAAAAGCUACAGUUGUUCUUAAAAGAUCUCCUGUUGUUACUUGAAAUGCAGUUGUUGUUUGAGCUGCAGUUGAACUUGGAAUAGUGGCUGUUGUUGUGGUUGGAGCUGUAGUUGAGAUAUCAGCUGGAACUGUAGUGGUGGGAAGAACAGUCAUGGUUGUAAUGGGUGUAGUUGGGGUUCUUGGAGGUUCAGUUGUUUUUAUUGGAGUUAAAGUUGGGGAUAUAGUUACAUGUGAUGAUGAGAUAGGCAUAAUUGUUACAGCAAUAGUUACAGUCUCCGGAGACACAGUUGUGAUAAUUGGAGGUGCAUUUGUUGUGGUAAGGAGUCCUGCUUGGCUUAGAGCUGGAGCUGUAUUAGUGAAAGCAAUAGUUGUGGUUGAUAGAGGUGCAGUUGUUAUUCGGAAUGCAGUUGUUGUUGCCGCUGUAGGUGUGUUUGUGCCUGGAAUUGAAGUUGAGGUUUGAGAUGGAUUUUCUGUUGUGGGAUAGUUAUUCGUAGAAGAGGAAGCUGUAAUGGUGGAUGUUGCAGGUGCAGGAGUACUUUCUGAAGUUGUAGACAUUGUUGGUGAAGUAAGAGUUGAGGUUUCAGUAGUUGUGGCUGGGGUUAAACUUGAUGUAGUAGUUGAAUAUUCCAUCAUGGUUGUGGAAUCUGUGGUUACAGCAGGUGAAGUUAUACUUUCUGAAUUUGUGUUCGGACCUUUUGAUGUUGUACUUGCAGCCUUAGGUGUGGUUUGAUCUGAUGUAGAAGUGGAAGGAAUGGUUGUGGUGAUGGAAGCUGUAGUUGUGGUUGUUGCAAGAGAAGCUGCUGUUGUCGUUGAAGCUACAGUGGUAGUUGUGGACGUUGUAGUUAUCGAUGUUGUUGGUGCAGUUGUGGUUUCUGAAGUCAUUUUGGUGAUUGUGAGUGUUUCAGUAGUUGCAGGUGCAAGUGGCAUUGUGGUUUGAGCUGUUGUUGCACUUGGAGCUUCAGAUGACAUUGGAGCUGAUGUCAUAGAGGAAGGUACAUUUAUAGAUGAGGAAGCUGUAGUUACUGAUGUUGUUACAGGUGCAGAUGUUUCUGAAGAUGUAGCCAUUGUUGUUGAAAUUACAGCUGUUGAUGUUGUUGGAUAAUUAGUUGCUGUACCUCGAGAUUCAGAUGAGGUUGGAGAUGAUGAUGUAGUAGUAGAAUGCACUAUCGCAGCUGAGGAAGCUGUAGAUGUUGAAGAUGCAGUUGUAAUUUCGGAAGCUGUAGUCACAGUAGUGGAUGGCCCCACUGUGGCUGUGGAAGCUGCAGUUGUGCUUGCUGCAGGUGUAGUUGUACUUUCUGAUGUUGUAGGCAUUGUUGUAGACGUAAGAGUUGUUGCUCCUGAAGUCACAACAGUGGAUGUGAGAGCUCCAGUAGAUGUGGUUGCAAGCAGCAAUGUGGUUUUAGAUGUUGUUGUACUUGGAGCUUCAGAUGACAUUGGAGCUGAUGUCAUAGAGGAAGGUACAGUUGUAGGUGAGGAAGCUGUAGUUACUGAUGUUGUUACAGGUGCAGUUGUUUCUGAAGAUGUAGGCACUGUUGUUGAAGUGAGAGUUGAGGAUUCUGAAGUUACAGCUGUUGAUGUUGUUGGAGUGUUCUUUGCUGUAAAUAUAGUUGAUGAAGCCGUAGUCAUAGCUUCUGCCGUUGUACUCUCUGAAGUUGUAGGCACCACUGUCGAAAUGAUAGGUGUGGUUUCUGUUCUCACAACCGUGGUUGUGGGAAUAUAGGUUUUUGAGGAUACUGUAGUUACUGAUGUUACAGUUGCAGUAGAUUCUGAAGAUGUAGGCUUAGCUGUUGAAGUAAGAGUUAUGGAUUCAGUACUCACAACUGUGGUUGUGGGAAUUUCAGUAGUUGAGGAUGCUGUAGUUACUGAUUUUGUUAGAGGUGUAGUUGUUUCUGAAGAUGUAGCUAUAACUGUUGAAGUAGGAGUUGUAGAUUCAGAAGUUACAAAUGUUGAUGUUGUUGGAUUGUUCGUUUUUGUAGGUGUGGUUGAUGAAGCUGUAGUCAUGGUUUCAGCUGUUGUACUCUUCAAAGUUGUGGGCAACACUGUUGAAGUAAUAGGUGUGGUUUCUGUACUCACAGCUGUGGUUGUGGAAAUUUUGAUAGUUGAGGAUGCUUUAGUUACUGAAGUUGUUACAGGUGCAGUUGUUUCUGAAGAUGUAGGCAAUGUUGUUGAAGUGAGAGUUGAGGAUUCUGAAGGUAUAACUGUUGAUGUUGUUGGAUUGUUUGUUGUUGCAGGUGUGGAUGAUGAAGCUGUAGUCGUGGUUUCUGCUGUUGUACUCUCUGAAGUUGUAGGCACCACUGUUGAAGUAAUAGGUGUGGUUUCUUUACUCACAACUGUGCUUGUGGGAAUUUCAGAAGUUGAGGAUGCUGUAGUUACUGAUGUUUUUACAGGUGCAGUUGUUUCUGAAGAUGUAGGCAAUGUUGUUGAAGUGAGAGUUGUGGAUUCUGAAGGUACAACUGUUGAUGUUGUUGGAUUGUUUGUUGUUGCAGGUGUGGAUGAUGAAGCUGUAGUCGUGGUUUCUAGUGUUGUACUUUCUGAAGUUGAAUGCACCACUGUUGAAGUAAUAGGUGUGGUUUCUGUACUCACAACUGUGGUUGUAGGAAUUUCAGUAGUUGAGGAUGCUGUAGUUACUGAAGUUGUUACAGGUGCAGUUGUUUCUGAAGAUGCAGGCACUGUUGUUGAAGUGAGAGCUGUGGAUGCUGAAGUUACAGCUUUUGAUGUUGGAUUGUUUGUUGUUGUAGAAAUUGUUGAUGAAGCUGUAGUCGUGGUUUCUGCUGUUGUACUCUCUGAAGUUGUAGGCACCACUGUUGAAGUAAUAGGUGUGGUUUCUUUACUCACAACUGUGCUUGUGGGAAUUUCUGAAGUUGAGGAUGCUGUAGUUACUGAUGUUUUUACAGGUGCAGUUGUUUCUGAAGAUGUAGGCACUGUUUUUGAAGUGAGAGUUGUGGAUUCUGAAGUUACAAAUGUUGAUGUUGUUGGAUUGUUUGUUGUAAGUGUGGUUGAUGAAGCUGUAGAUGUGGUUUCUGCUGUUGUACUCUCUGAAGUUGUGGGCACCACUGUUGAAGUAAUAGGUGUGGUUUCUGUACUCAUAACUGUGGUUGUGAGAAUUUCAGUAGUUGAGGAUGCUUUAGUUACUGAAGUUGUUACAGGUGCAGUUGUUUCUGAAGAUGUAGGCAAUGUUGUUGAAGUGAGAGUUGAGGAUUCUGAAGGUAUAACUGUUGAUGUUGUUGGAUUGUUUGUUGUUGCAGGUGUGGAUGAUGAAGCUGUAGUCGUGGUUUCUAGUGUUGUACUUUCUGAAGUUGAAUGCACCACUGUUGAAGUAAUAGGUGUGGUUUCUGUACUCACAACUGUGGUUGUAGGAAUUUCAGUAGUUGAGGAUGCUGUAGUUACUGAAGUUGUUACAGGUGCAGUUGUUUCUGAAGAUGCAGGCACUGUUGUUGAAGUGAGAGCUGUGGAUGCUGAAGUUACAGCUUUUGAUGUUGGAUUGUUUGUUGUUGUAGAAAUUGUUGAUGAAGCUGUAGUCGUGGUUUCUGCUGUUGUACUCUCUGAAGUUGUAGGCACCACUGUUGAAGUAAUAGGUGUGGUUUCUUUACUCACAACUGUGCUUGUGGGAAUUUCAGAAGUUGAGGAUGCUGUAGUUACUGAUGUUUUUACAGGUGCAGUUGUUUCUGAAGAUGUAGGCAAUGUUGUUGAAGUGAGAGUUGAGGAUUCUGAAGGUAUAACUGUUGAUGUUGUUGGAUUGUUUGUUGUUGCAGGUGUGGAUGAUGAAGCUGUAGUCGUGGUUUCUAGUGUUGUACUUUCUGAAGUUGAAUGCACCACUGUUGAAGUAAUAGGUGUGGUUUCUGUACUCAUAACUGUGGUUGUGAGAAUUUCAGUAGUUGAGGAUGCUUUAGUUACUGAAGUUGUUACAGGUGCAGUUGUUUCUGAAGAUGUAGGGACUGUUGUUGAAGUGAAAGUUGUGGAUUCUGAAGGUACAACUGUUGAUGUUGUUGGAAUGUUUGUUGUUGUAGGUGUGGUUGAUGAAGCUGUAGUCGUGGUUUCUGGUGUUGUACUUUCUGAAGUUGAAUGCACCACUGUUGAAGUAAUAGGUGUGGUUUCUGUACUCACAGCUGUGGUUGUGGGAAUUUUAGUAGUUGAGGAUGCUGUAGUUACUGAAGUUGUUACAGGUGUAGUUGUUUCUGAAGAUGUAGGCACUGUUGUUGAAGUAAUAGUUGUGUAUUCAGAAGUUACAGCUGCUGAUAUUGGAUUGAUUGUUGUUGUAAGAGUGGUUGAUGAAGCUGUAGUCGUGGUUUCUGGUGUUGUACUUUCUGAAGUUGUAGGCACUGUUGUUGAAGUGAUAGUUGUGUAUUCAGAAGUAACAGCUGUUGAUGUUGGAUUGUUUGUUGUUGAAAGUGUGGUUGAUGAAGCUGUAGUCGUGGUUUCUGCUGUUGUACUCUCUGAAGUUGUAGGCACCACUGUUGAAGUAACAGAUGUGGUUUCUGAACUCACAGCUGUGCUUGUAGGAAUUUCAGUAGUUGAGGAUGCUGUAGUUACUGACGUUGUUACAGGUGCAGUUGUUUCUAUAGAUGUAGGCAAUGUUGUUGAAGUGAGAGUUGUGGAUUCAGAAGUUGCAGCUAUUGAUCUUGUUGGAUUGUUUGUUGUUGUAGGAGUGGUUGAUGAAGCUGUAGUCGUGGUUUCUACUGUUGUACUCUCUGAAGUUGUAGGCACCACUGUUGAAGUAGUAGAUGUGGAUUCUGAACUCAAAACUGUGGUUGUGGGAAUUUCAAUAGUUGAGGAUGCUGUAGUUACUGAUGUUGUUACAGGUGCAGUUGUUUCUAUAGAUGUAGGCACUGUUGUUGAAGUGAGAGUUGUGGAUUCUGAAGUUGCAGCUGUUGAUGUUGUUGGAUUGUUUGUUGUUGUAGGAGUGGUUGAUGAAGCUGUAGUCGUUGUUUCUACUGUUGUACUCUCUGAAGUUGUAGGCACCACUGUUGAAGUAAUAGAUGUGGUUUCUAAACUCACCACUAUGGUUGUGGGAAUUUCAGUAGUUGAGGAUGCUGUAGUUACUGAUGUUGUUAGAGGUGUAGUUAUUUCUGAAGAUGUAGGUAUAAUUGUUGAAGUAAGACUUGUAGAUUCAGAAGUUACAGAUGUUGAUGUUGUUGGAUUGGUCGUUGUUGUUGGUGUGGUUGAUGAAACUGUAGUCGUGGUUUCUGAUGUUGUACUCUCUGAAGUUGUAGGCACCACUGUUGAAGAAACAGAUGUGGUUUCUGAACUUACAACUGUGGUUGUGGGAAUUUCAGUAGUUGAGGAUGCUGUAGUUACUGAUGUUGUUACAGGUGCAGUUGUUUCUAUAGAUGUAGCCACUGUUGAUGAAGUGAGAACUGUAGAUUCUGAAGUUGCAGCUGUUGAUGUUGUUGGAUUGUUAGUUGUUGUAGGAGUGGUUGAUGAAGCUGUAGUCGUUGUUUCUACUGUUGUACUCUCUGAAGUUGUAGGCACAACUGUUGAAGUAAUAGAUGUGGUUUCUAAACUCACCACUGUGGUUUUUGGAAUUUCAGUAGUUGAGGAUGCUGUAGUUACUGAUGUUGUUAGAGGUGUAGUUGUUUCUGAAGAUGUAGGUAUAACUGUUGAAGUAAGAGUUGUAGAUUCAGAAGUUACAGAUGUUGAUGUUGUUGGAUUGUUCCUUGUUGUUGGUGUGGUUGAUGAAACUGUAGUCGUGGUUUCUGCUGUUGUACUCUCUGAAGUUGUAGGCACCACUGUUGAAGAAACAGAUGUGGUUUCUGAACUUACAACUGUGGUUGUGGGAAUUUCAGUAGUUGAGGAUGCUGUAGUUACUGAUGUUGUUACAGGUGCAGUUGUUUCUAUAGAUGUAGGCACUGUUGUUGAAGUGAGAGUUGUGGAUUCUGAAGUUGCAGCUGUUGAUGUUGGAUUGUUCGUUGUUGUAGUUGUGGUUGAUGAAGCUGUAGUCGUGGUUUCUGCUGUUGUACUCUCUGAAGUUGUAGGCACCGCUGUUGAAGUAAUAGAUGUGGUUUCUGUACUCACAACUGUGGUUGUCGGAAUUUCAGUAGUUGAGGAUGCUGUAGUUUCUGAAGUUGUUAAAGGUGCAGUUGUUUCUGAAGAUGUAGGCGCUGUCGUUGAAAUUAGAGUUGUGGAUUCUGAAGUUACAGCUGUUGAUGUUGUUGGAUUGUUUGUUGUUGUAGGAGUGGUUGAUGAAGCUGUAGUCGUGGUUUCUACUGUUGUACUUUCUGAAGUUGUAGGCAUCACUGUUGAAGUAAUAGAUGUGGUUUCUGUACUCACAACUGUGGUUCUGGGAAUUUCAGUAGUUGAGGAUGCUGUAGUUACUGAUGUUGUUAGAGGUGCAGUUGUUUCUGAAAAUGUAGGCGCUGUCGUUGAAGUGAGAGUUGUGGAUUCUGAAGUUACAGCUGUUGAUGUUGUUGGAUUGUUUGUUGUUGUAGGAGUGGUUGAUGAAGCUGUAGUCGUGGUUUCUACUGUUGUACUCUCUGAAGUUGUAGGCACCACUGUUGAAGUAAUAGAUGUGGUUUCUGUACUCACAACUGUGGUUGUGGGAAUUUCAGUAGUUGAGGAUGCUGUAGUUUACUGAA